GGGCUUGGAGGGGGCAGAUCUCUACCUUGUGAGUUCCAAGGAUCAAACUCAGGUUGUCAGUCCUGUUGGCAAGACCUGCAAUGCCUUUGCUGCCCAUGUGAACUUCAUUUAAUAAUUCAUCUGACAAAUCAUUUGGUGACUCCAAGACAGGGCCCCCAAGGAUCAGUGCUGAGUUUGCAGCCAGGGAGGCGGUCAGAUGAGAAGCUGGGACAGUGCAGGAAACUCAGAUGGGCUGUCACCGUACGACAGAGCCCCGGACUCAGUUAACCCGAGAGAAUCCCCUCAGGCACACCCAGAGGGCCAUAUUCUGGGCAAUUCUCGGUCUCAUGAAGCUGACGGUUGAGAUCAGCUGUCAGGGUCCUAUGCCAACCGAAGGGCGUCGUCAGUCAGCCUGCCCGUCGUCACCCGCUCAUUUCUGGGUUAACCGGACUCCUUGAGGCAAAGGCUGGACACAUAGGUAAAACUCUGGCAUGGUUCCCAUGACUCCUGAUCAGGCACACCCUACCGCACCGUUCCUGGGAUAUCAGGCAGAACCAGAAAGGGAUUUCAUGCCUGCACUUACUUUACGAACAGCUGACCUCACAGGUGACUGAUCUGGAGGUCCCUGGGUCCUCCUGCAAAGAGGCAUUGGUCAGGGGCGAGGCUGUAGGACAAAGACCUGCUGGGCGUCCUAGAUGAGAGCUAACAAGACAGCCAGACUUUCAGUCCUAGUGAAUGCCACCGAACAACCUGGAGGAUAGAAGUGGAUCUUGCCCGUGUGAAACAUCCAGGAGACAGGUUUCUGACACCGUCACAUCAGCCUGCUGAGGCCAUGUUCCAGAACCCAUGAAACUGUGAGAUGACAGAUUACGGGGUCUGGGGCUUAGUGUGCAGUAAAAUAUGCACACUAUGAAUAUUAUUAAUUACGUUAACAUAAAACUGACUUUAAUUUCCAGCAUCCCAGACAGAAACUGUAAGCUCAUUAAGCAGCGAUUUCCUAUUCGCCCCCUCUCAUUUCCCGACUGUAGGGCACCUUCCGAAGCUCUCCCACCGCUCUGCCCAAGGCCCUCCUCAUGGCUCCUUCCCAAGCCCUCUCCGUUCCCCUGCUCCCCUGGCCCUCAUUCCUAUUCUCCACCAGCUCUCCUCAAUGCUCUUGUUCCUGGGCACAUGCUCCUCCCUCUACCUGGCAGCCAGCUCUGUGUCCCGAGGACGUUGUCAGCCCUGAAGGGCAUCAUGUAGCAGCAUUUAGUUUUGGGUGGCUCCCCCCCCCCACUUUGGUGUGAUGUUCUCAGGCUUCCCACGUGUUGGAAUUCCUACCUUCUGGUAUUUAUCCAUCCCAUCUCUGCUAUGAAUCAUGCUGUGGACACUCACGAACAUGCUCCUAUUUGCUGCUUUUGUCUUUGUCAUUUGUAUGGUAGCAGUGAACAAUACAGGAGGACACUCGGCUCCCUAAGGAAAUGGUCAUUAACUGUGUGCGUGGAUCCCAGCAAGUACCAUCGGCUCUUUUAUGUCUUACUUCCUACACACAGUAGCUGUGGCUGAGUAAGGGAUCAAACGGACAACUCGGUGUUGCACACACUAGACUUCAAAACAAGACGCUGUUUGGAACGGCUCUGCUCGGCUCCUCUUUCUCCAGAUGUCUACAUUCUGCCUUGCCCUGUUACCUGGGGUCCUGGGCUGGGGACAGCCAGGCUCAGAGUUUCCUCCUGUUGCUGAUCGGAACUGGCCAUAAAAGAAGGGCUUUUCAGGUGUUCCCUUGGGGGCAGUUCUGCGGCCUGUGGGGUGGCUGGUGGGAUCUCUGAGUGGAGAGUCGCUCUCAGAAACAUGAACAAGAAAGCAGACGCCGUAAUUUCCUAGAGAGAGGAGCGUAAUUGUUUUAAAAUCAUUUCUCUUGAGCACUUGGAAACAUCCCAGGAGUAAAACAGCGUGUUUUAAAUUAAA
Long non-coding RNA from Arvicola amphibius (Eurasian water vole), 1920 nucleotides. RefSeq lists it as uncharacterized. The transcript is spliced from 2 exons. The record is from RefSeq and is a predicted model, not a curated record. Lineage: Eukaryota; Metazoa; Chordata; Mammalia; Rodentia; Cricetidae.